AACGCUAGCUACAGGCUUAACACAUGCAAGUCGAGGGGCAGCAUUGGGGUAGCAAUACUUCAGAUGGCGACCGGCGCACGGGUGAGUAACACGUAUCCAACCUGCCGCUUACUCGGGGAUAGCCUUUCGAAAGAAAGAUUAAUACCCGAUGGUAUAAAGAGUUCGCAUGUUCUCUUUAUUAAAGAAUUUCGGUAAGCGAUGGGGAUGCGUUCCAUUAGAUAGUUGGCGGGGUAACGGCCCACCAAGUCUACGAUGGAUAGGGGUUCUGAGAGGAAGGUCCCCCACAUUGGAACUGAGACACGGUCCAAACUCCUACGGGAGGCAGCAGUGAGGAAUAUUGGUCAAUGGACGCGAGUCUGAACCAGCCAAGUAGCGUGAAGGAUGACUGCCCUAUGGGUUGUAAACUUCUUUUAUAAGGGAAUAAAGUGAGGGACGUGUCCCUUUUUGUAUGUACCUUAUGAGUAAGGAUCGGCUAACUCCGUGCCAGCAGCCGCGGUAAUACGGAGGAUCCGAGCGUUAUCCGGAUUUAUUGGGUUUAAAGGGAGCGUAGGUUGACGUAUAAGUCAGCUGUGAAAGUUUACGGCUCAACCGUGAAAUUGCAGUUGAUACUGUAUGUCUUGAGUGUACAAGAGGUGGGCGGAAUUCGUGGUGUAGCGGUGAAAUGCUUAGAUAUCACGAAGAACUCCGAUUG
Molecule: ribosomal RNA, 691 nt
Filed under: uncultured bacterium
Lineage: Bacteria
Description: bacterial SSU rRNA
Rfam family: Bacterial small subunit ribosomal RNA
Source: RNAcentral